This 1051-nucleotide ribosomal RNA is filed under the name Mycoplasmopsis bovis. RNAcentral describes it as "bacterial SSU rRNA". It matches the Rfam family "Bacterial small subunit ribosomal RNA", at positions 1 to 1013 of the family's 1533-position model. Lineage: Bacteria; Bacillati; Mycoplasmatota; Mycoplasmoidales; Metamycoplasmataceae. The record is from RNAcentral.
AGGCUAGUAUGCUCAGGCCGCCACGGAGGGUAUCCAAGAUUAGAGUUUGAUCCGGGGCUCAGGAUGAACGCUGGCUGUGUGCCUAAUACAUGCAUGUCGAGCGAUGAUAGCAAUAUCAUAGCGGCGAAUGGGUGAGUAACACGUACUCAACGUACCUUUUAGAUUGGGAUAGCGGAUGGAAACAUCCGAUAAUACCGAAUACUUAUUAUUUUUGCAUGAAAGUAAUAUAAAAGGAAGCGUUUGCUUCGCUAAAAGAUCGGAGUGCGCAACAUUAGCUAGUUGGUGAGGUAACGGCCCACCAAGGCGAUGAUGUUUAGCGGGGUUGAGAGAUUGAUCCGCCACACUGGGACUGAGAUACGGCCCAGACUCCUACGGGAGGCAGCAGUAGGGAAUAUUCCACAAUGGACGAAAGUCUGAUGGAGCGACACAGCGUGCAGGAUGAAGGCCCUAUGGGUUGUAAACUGCUGUGGUUAGGGAAGAAAAAGUAGCAUAGGAAAUGAUGCUACCUUGACGGUACCUGGUUAGAAAGCAACGGCUAACUAUGUGCCAGCAGCCGCGGUAAUACAUAGGUUGCAAGCGUUAUCCGAAAUUAUUGGGCGUAAAGCGUCUGUAGGUUGUUUGUUAAGUCUGGCGUUAAAUUUUGGGGCUCAACCCCAAAACGCGUUGGAUACUGGCAGACUAGAGUUAUGUAGAGGUUAGCGGAAUUCCUUGUGAAGCGGUGAAAUGCGUAGAUAUAAGGAAGAACAUCAAUAUGGCGAAGGCAGCUAACUGGGCAUACACUGACACUGAGAGACGAAAGCGUGGGGAGCAAACAGGAUUAGAUACCCUGGUAGUCCACGCCCUAAACGAUGAUCAUUAGUUGAUGGGGAACUCAUCGACGCAGCUAACGCAUUAAAUGAUCCGCCUGAGUAGUACGUUCGCAAGAAUAAAACUUAAAGGAAUUGACGGGGAUCCGCACAAGCGGGUGGAGCAUGUGGGUUUAAUUUGAUGUUACGCGUAGAAACCUUUACCCACUCUUGACAUCUUUCUGCAAGCUAUGGGAGACAUAGUG